This 459-nucleotide ribosomal RNA is filed under the name uncultured bacterium. RNAcentral describes it as "partial 16S ribosomal RNA". It matches the Rfam family "Bacterial small subunit ribosomal RNA", at positions 338 to 795 of the family's 1533-position model. The record is from RNAcentral.
CCUACGGGAGGCAGCAGUGAGGAAUAUUGGUCAAUGGGCGCGAGCCUGAACCAGCCAAGUCGCGUGAGGGAAGACGGUCCUAUGGAUUGUAAACCUCUUUUGUCGGGGAGCAAACGACGCCACGCGUGGCGUUCCGAGAGUACCCGAAGAAAAAGCAUCGGCUAACUCCGUGCCAGCAGCCGCGGUAAUACGGAGGAUGCGAGCGUUAUCCGGAUUUAUUGGGUUUAAAGGGUGCGCAGGAGGAAGAUCAAGUCAGCGGUAAAAUCGAGAGGCUCAACCUCUUCGAGCCGUUGAAACUGGUUUUCUUGAGUGAGUGAGAGGUAUGCGGAAUGCGUGGUGUAGCGGUGAAAUGCAUAGAUAUCACGCAGAACUCCGAUUGCGAAGGCAGCAUACCGGCGCUCAACUGACGCUCAUGCACGAAAGUGUGGGUAUCGAACAGGAUUAGAUACCCGGGUAGUC